This is a non-coding RNA of Phoenix dactylifera (date palm), 2369 nucleotides long. NCBI's taxonomy places the organism in Eukaryota, Viridiplantae, Streptophyta, Magnoliopsida, Arecales, Arecaceae. The record is from RefSeq and is a predicted model, not a curated record.
AGACCGAGAACGAAAAGUAGCAGCGGCCCGACGCUCCUCCAAGAUCGAAAUUUGUGGCCCGGCGGAGAGCGACAAAGAAGUUAAAAAAAAAAAGGGAAGAAAAGCGAACGCUCGCAGCGGCGGUGGCGAGGGCGGAGGAGCGGAGGAGAUUAUCCCUUCCCCCAAUCUCCAUGGCUUAAACGCUCCACGAGAAUCCUCAUUCCCUAGAGAGAGAGAGAGAGAGAGAGAGAGGAGAGGGGAAGGGGGCCGAGGGUGGAGAGCGAGAGAGAGAGGGGGGGAGGGAUAGGAUGAAGGAGGUGGUGGUCCACAUCUACGACGUGACGAACAGUGGCUCGGAGAAGACCAAUAACACCAUCGUCCAGAUCAAUCGAAUCUUUAAGGACGGCAUUGGCCUCGGUGGCAUCUUCCACAGCGCCGUCCAGGUUUAUGGAGAUGAAGAAUGGUCAUUUGGGUUUUGUGAAUACGGCAGUGGAGUUUUUAGCUGUCCACCUCGUAGAAAUCCUAUGUAUACCUACCGUGAAUCCAUUGUCCUUGGAAUGACAAACUGUUCUAUUUUCAUGGUAAAUCAGAUCUUGAGGGAGCUCAGCAGUGCAUGGCCUGGAAGCUCAUACGACCUGCUAUCAAGAAACUGCAACCACUUUUGUGAUGCUUUCUGUGAAUUGCUUGCUGCACCAAAACUUCCAGGUUGGGUCAAUCGGUUUGCCAAUGCUGGUGAUGCUGCAAUGGAAGUUGCAGGAAAUACAGCAAUAAAGCUGAGACAAGUGAAAACAGAAGUUGCGAAUGCUAGCAAAUUGGCUUACAGAUUCAUUGCUGGUGUUGCCUCAAAUACACCAGCCACACCUGAGACCCCAAGCAAUUCAAGCAAUGCAAAUCCCCAUUCCGAGAGCACAUGGUUCGCUAAUCUCAUGAACAACAUUGGUGCCAAACCAUCAAGUAGUACUUUGGAGUACCCUGAGGACUCCUCAUCCUCGGAAUAUGAAGAGUCUGAAGAGUCAGAAGAUGAGCAUCCACACCAGCGGGAUGAUGAACAAACGCAGCACAGCCUGAAGCAUGACAUAUUCAUCAUUUCUGAUGAGCAUGUAGCAGUUGCAGCAAGGCCCUCAGAAGCAUGGAGGUGAUGGAGUGUACAGCUGUGGCGGCUAUUUCUGGACUUUAUCUGCCCCUGCUUUGGUAUAGGCCUUUUACGAAAGCAGUGGCACGAACAGCAGUGACCUUGUUGCUCAUGGUUCUAAAUGGAGGUAAGCUGCGUCGAGUCUUGCUGUCUUUGGUAGUUUCUUCUACUUGGCUUUGCUGUUGUCUUUGUUAUUGGUCGUUAUAUAGAGGUCUUAGAAGCAGGGAUACAAGUUGUAGAAACAGGGGCUGGUUUGUAUGAGAAAGGGGUGCUCUGGUAGUGGUUUUCUGGUGGGGAGGAUGCCAGCAAAUUUGGUCAGGUUGUCAUGGAUAGGUUCCAUUUUGCUCUGAUGAGGAUGAACAAAAUAGUGAGCCACCCUGAUGAUUCCGCAUCCCUUAUAAACAAUCACAGGGCAUGAAUGGGUUUAAAAUUCAGCGGUGUCUGGUAGGUAUAAUAGGUGUAAUCAGUGAGAAUUUUCAUAGAUUCUGCUCACAAUUGGGGGUUGGAUCUUGAUUAGGAAGGAUUUUUCUUAUAAUUUUUUUAAUUAGCAAAGUGGUUUCUAUCUUAGUAGGUUCGCUUGGGGAAAAAGGUUUCAUCAAUUGUCAAUUGCUUUUCAUGAAUAACAACCUUUGUCAUUCUGAGAAGCUAGAAGUAGAUCUCUAACUUUAUUUGCCAGUGGGUGGAUUCAAGUUUCAUGUCUCGUGCAGAAAAGCAUUCCACUUAACAUUUAAGUCAUUGUUGGGGGAGGGUGGUGCCUUGUUGGACGUAGAUCUAUUUUGACAUCAUGAUUUGAAGAGGAGGCUUGUGGUGUAAUGUGUGGAUGCAGCAGAUGCUGAUGGUGUUAGCUUUAUUACAGGGAUGAUAACUGUGGCUUUUGGGGUGGUCUUGUUCAUUUUGGCUCACCUACACAUCUACACUUGUUGGUUUGUUGAACUGCUAUGUUUCAUGUUGGUUUUGCGCUUGCACUACAUGUGAAUGGACGAGACUCAUCUCUUUGCAGAGGAGAUUACAGGUGGCCAACUUGGUUAUUUUUGGCAUGUUAGGAGGGGCUGCUUCAUCUGAACUUCUGGCAGGAGCUAGGAGUGAAGACUGAAAUUAACUCUUCAAUGAGAAACCAACCAGGAUGUGUGGGAUGCAUGGCAAAACAGGUAUAUAUUUGACACACAUGUCGCUUGUCUCUAGCACAUGCAACUGGCUACAUAGCAUUGGACAAUCAAAUGGUCCAACAAGCAUCAGACCUGGAGGAUCCUAAUUGUUU